Molecule: unclassified non-coding RNA, 1082 nt
Filed under: Hevea brasiliensis (rubber tree)
Lineage: Eukaryota; Viridiplantae; Streptophyta; Magnoliopsida; Malpighiales; Euphorbiaceae
Source: RNAcentral
AUAGAGCUUCCAGACAUAUGAUCAUCCCUCAGUUUGAAGUUUGCCGGAGGCGCUGGUAUGGAGCUAUGAAUAGCUUGAUCUUGCUCAUGGAACAACUCGCUUUCAUUGAAGCCAUAAUCAGAAGGAUGACUCUGUGAGAAUCCCAUUCUUGACUUCCUCAAGUCUUCUGAUGUCCGAUUGGCAAGAUCUCGCCCAUCUUCUGUAUCAUCAUCUCCCUCAGAAGUCGUCGCAGAAAUCCAGUCAACCAAACUCUCGGUCCCACGACUUUUCCUUCCAAACUUUAACAACCGUUUAAACCCUUUUGUCACAUCCUUGCGUGACUGAUUAUGGGACGAAUUAGCAACUAGAACAGGUUUCUGAGCACUUCCCCACUUCUUCCUCAUUCGAGCAGCAUCAGCCUCUGUUUGGGCAAGAGAGUGAGAAUUCCAGGAUGCAGGGCUUCCAAUUGGAGAUUCCACAGAAGCAUCAAUAUCUGAGAUCUCAUGCGGGUAGGAAAAUGGAUUAUGCAUGUGGGAGUUCCAUGACACUGGGCUUUCCCCAGGUGAGUCCUGUAAGGACCCCACGACAUGGAAUGUUGAAGGAACGGAAGCCGGCAGUUCAGUAACUGAAGAAGGAUCAAUUUGAGAAAUUUGAGAAAGAGAUCUCAAAGAAUCACCAUUCUCAGAUUCAGAAAUCUUAUCAGAUUCCUGGCUUAACCCUGUUUUACCAUUUUCAGUGUUAGCACAAUCUUCAAACUCUGUUGUUUCUAGAUCCUCCUCCUCUUCCUCUUCUUCUUUUGCUACAUUGACCGAAUCUUCUGCCUCAAAAGGUGAUUCUUCAUAUUCUUCUUCGUUUUUCAAAGCCUCUGAUGCCACCGAAGCUUUCAGUUUGGCAAUACUAGUACCAGCACCAGGACCUAUGCCAUUACCCUUCCGAAGGAAAGGCUUCGACUCCACAUUCUUUGAAAAUUUUUCAUACAGGCCCUGCUCAGUUUGCUCUUUAUCGAACUUCAACGGUGACAAAACAAUAUCAUCGGAGUUCAAACGAGGCAAAUCCCUGAAUUCAGUAGGACUAGCAGAGCUUUUCCUCAAGGACUGAGAACG